GCUUGUAGAAUACUGGUGGUUUAGGUUUCUUGAAUAUUGGAAUAUGAGGUGGAAGUGGCUUCUUGAAUAUUGGAAUAUGAGGUGGAAGUGGCUUCUUGAAUAUUGGGAUCAGUGGUUUCUUAAAAAGUGGAAUAGGAGGUGGAAGUGGUUUCUCAAAUUUUGGAAUCGGCGGCGGCAAUGGUUUCUUGUAAAUCGGAAUAGGUGGUGGAAGUGGUUUCUUGUAAAUUGGUAUUGGAGGAGGCAAUGGUUUCUUGUAAAUUGGUAUUGGAGGCGGAAGUGGCUUCUUAUAAACUGGUAUCGGCGGUGGAAGUGGCUUCUUAAAAAUGGGU
RNAcentral lists this long non-coding RNA (329 nucleotides) under Manihot esculenta (cassava). RNAcentral's name for it is "long non-coding RNA (MESC_LNC002461)". Lineage: Eukaryota; Viridiplantae; Streptophyta; Magnoliopsida; Malpighiales; Euphorbiaceae. The record is from RNAcentral.